RNAcentral lists this long non-coding RNA (515 nucleotides) under Malus domestica (apple). RNAcentral's name for it is "long non-coding RNA (MDOM_LNC008934)". Lineage: Eukaryota; Viridiplantae; Streptophyta; Magnoliopsida; Rosales; Rosaceae. The record is from RNAcentral.
CUCACAUUUGGCUAGCAAUAAUGUGGUUCAAAUUCACCUUUGAUGACAAUCAAACUUAUAACUUCUCAGUUACAAGUGAAGAGGAAUACCACUAGACCCGUAAUAUUAAGUAGCUGAGUAAAUAAAAUUUUAAUUAAUCCAACUUUUUUUGUGGAGCAUCAGCUGGAUAUAUAUCUUCAAUAUUUGAGUCCAUGAGAGACAUGCAUGGUUCAGUUCGAGCCUUUCACUUUCUACUUUCAAGAUCUUAAAAGGUUCUGUUUCUGUUAAGGAUAUCGGAUAUCAAACAAUAAGUUGGCAAAUAAAUGCGGUAGCUGUAAGAGAAGCAUCCAAAUAACCCACUUGACCUAAUUGUUUUAUUCAUUUGGAGCAAAGCAUGCAUAUCGCAAUAUGCAGUCAGCCUCUUGAAGAAACAGUAUGCACAUGUGACACCCUUCAUCAUACACAUGGAUAUGCUUUGGAAACAUACAUAUCUCUGUAAAUUUAAUUCCCUAUUGCCAAUUUGUCGUGCCAUGGAU